GAGGGCUCAUUGGUUGAUAUGUGACUGAUUGAUUGCCAAUCACACGUUUGUGUUUGUGUACCAGACGUCACGAGGAGGACGCACAGCGGAGAUCAUGAAGGCCGAGUGGAGGUUGCGUUUUGCUCACACUCUCGCUCGGGCGCUGCAUUCAAAGCGUUUUGGCUGUUUGCUUUCCAAUUCGGAGAAGACCAGAGAGGGAAAAUGACACAAGAAGAAAGAAGUCUUCAAAUGACGUGAAAAGAUUUGCAAGUCAACAUGUUAUUAGCAAAAACGGUUCGAAAAUAUAUCUAUGGAAUGGUUCAAUUCAAAUGUUUGCAUGUAACAGAUAAAUACAUUCAAGUUGUACCCAAAAAGUAAGCUUCAAAAUCUCUUCAAAUGAAAUGCAAUUCAAAGUGAAACACAACUGAAGCGGACUUGGCCAGUCAUUCAUUGGUGCACCACAAGAGGGAGCCUGAGGGUCACACAUUGAGAACCACUGGUCUAGUGACGCACGACUCAACUCCAAACUCCUUGGCAAAAGGGAAGAAGUGAAAAGUUGAACAGGUGAAAUUAGAGUCUCCGCGUGUGGUAGGCAGGCAGGCUCCCUCUAGUGGUAUGCAAAAGAAUCACUGGAUUAAAGCUUCAAACUGCUUAAAUGGCUUCACCAUCCAGUGCAGUACAAUUUACUUGUACUUUAAGACGAAAGGCACAUCUGAGUGCGCUCAUAGAAUUUGACAAUUCCUCUUGCGCUUGAAGUGUCUUUGCUUGCGGCGGAAAGCCAAAGCCUUCUUGGCCGCCUCCCGGAACACGUCGUCCACGUUCUCCUGGCACUUUGCCGAGCACUCCAGGUAGAGCUCGGCGUUCAUCUGCUGCUGCGCGGCCAGGCCCUGCGUCCCAAGGCAAAGCACACCGGAUGAGCAGACGGCCCGCAGGUCAAUAAAUAAACCAAAGGGCUAAUUAAAUGAAGUAUCGUUUGCGAGGCCAUUUUCAAAUACGCACGCGUUUAAAUAGAAAGGAGCACUGGGUCGUCACCUGCGUGUAGGUGACGGGAGCCUGCUUGACGGCCUUGAGCCUCCUGCAGCAUUCUUUGUCCUUCCUGAGGUCCGUCUUGCAGCCAAUCAGGAUGAGCGGGACGCCCGGACAAAAGUGCUUCACCUCCGGGUGCCACUGAGCACAUGCGCACCUUUUGACUUUUUUGGCCGCGUUCCUACCUCGGCGCAAUUUGGAAUCUUCGAUAAAACUAAAAAGCAUUUUUCGCUGAGCGGAGCCCGAUUGAAUUUGUUUGAAUAUUCAUUGUGUCCCAGGGCCACAACUUGUCCCGGUACGUCGGUUCAAGGCCCCAGCGCACCUUUUUUCCGAGAAGGCGGCGGCAGUGGCGGCGGUGGCUUCCCAAUCUGCUUUUGGGCUCAAAGUCCAGCCACAGCGAAUGGUAAGUUAAUCAUAAGUCAAAGAAUGCGUGCAUGUGUGCCACUCCCAACUUGCAAUUCCCGUUUGAAGAGUAAACGCGAGGCGAGGCGAGGCGAGGCGCCUUUUACCUUGAUGGUCACGUUGUCAAAACUGGUAGGGUUGGUCACGUCGAAGCACACCAGAAUCACGUGGGCCUCCGUGUACGACAGCGGGCGCAGCCUGUCGUAGUCCUCCUGGCCUGCGAGCACAAACGUGACGGCUGAUGGCAGUCCGACUGGUGGCAAAGGCCAGGCCCGAGGGCCAGAUGUGGCCCGCUGUGUCAUCUUACAUGGGCCGCAAAAGCAAACUUUCAAACCAAAUUCCAACUUUGGAAUAACUGAUGAGAUUUUGCACCAUGUUUGAGCAAGUGUGCAACUGCAAAGCGGCCUGCGGUAAAAACCAGCUUGCCACCCACAGGCUCGGAAAGCGACAGACGUGCGAUGACACGCGGGCGAUGUUAGCGUACGCGCGACGUGCAAGCAAACCACAUCCUGGCUUCGGCUUCCUCUUGGCAACCAUGUCACUCUCUCUCGGCACGACCGUUUGCAACAGACGCGUCCGCUCACAUUGGAAAUAAAAUGUUCAAAGUAGUUGAUUUUGCGGUCACUGUAAUAAAACUUUUUGCAGAUAAUAGGAAGGGACUUGAACACCCAAAUCAAGCAAAACUCGACAAGUGGCAUUGUCAUGCUUGUCAUUCAUUGGCAGCCUGCGAUAUUCCUCAAGCAACUUUGUUCUUUUUGUUGACUACUUUUGCCUUACCUGCGGUGUCGUACAUGUUGAGCACCACUUCUUUUCCUCUAAGGACCACCGUGGUGGAGACUUUUUCAAACACCGUCGGGGCGUAUUUCUGGUGAAAAGGGGAGGACAGUGACUAUCAGCGUCUACAUCCGAUGAGCCAGCCAUGACGAGCCCGUCUGGUUAGAGCACGCACGCGGCAGAUUGUCAUGGUCUCACCUCUGGAAAGUAAUCUUUGGCAUACACCAUGAGAAGGGAGGUUUUCCCACAGCCGCCGUCUCCCACAAUGACCGUCUUGAGUUCCUCACCCUCCUUGCCGGUGCCGUUAGCGCCGCCGGCAUCCUUAUUUUGGGUCAUCCUCCUCGUCACUCACAGGACCAACUCUCCGUCAAGGCCGUCCGUGCAUGGCAAAGAAAGCCUGCGGAAAAAAAUCACACGGGCCGCUGUGGAUGUCGGAGCACUUUAGUCCGCUCGGCGUGGAGCUGCCGACAGAUGGGCCCUCACCUUUGGAGCCCGCGUGCCGGUGCUCAGCAUCCGAGCGCACCAACGGCCGGCACUGGAGCGGCCCACGCCACGCACUGCCGCGCCUACUUCCUUUUUUUCUGCAAUGUGUCAUUGCAUGGGCGGGAACUCCUUUUUGAGGCAGCUUACUUUCUGCCAUGCAAUCCGGAAGACCAUCUUCUUGGACGUCCAACCAUUCGGCUCCAUUUGAGCUAUUUGGGGACAUCAAAAUGGUGGCGUUUUGCCGUCUGGCCACCGGGCCGCAGCAAUCCACUCCUGUCUUUAUUCCAGUCGUUUAAUGAGCUAUUGUUUACUUUUAAAACUGCAAAAUGAUGUUUUUUAAUUCAUUCUUCUCCUCAAUAAAUCAUUUGUUUGUUGUAAA
Long non-coding RNA from Syngnathus typhle (broad-nosed pipefish), 3043 nucleotides. RefSeq lists it as uncharacterized. Lineage: Eukaryota; Metazoa; Chordata; Actinopteri; Syngnathiformes; Syngnathidae. The transcript has 2 exons. The record is from RefSeq and is a predicted model, not a curated record.